UGCCAAUUGAGGAUUUAAAAGGCUGCAGUAUAUUGACUGUACAAAGGUAGCAUAAUCAUUAGUUUCUUAAUUAGAAGCUAGAAUGAAUGGUUUGACAAAAAAAAAUCUGUCUCUUAUUGAAAUUUAAAAUUUUAUUUUUAAGUUAAAAAGCUUAAAUAUUUUAAAAAGACGAGAAGACCCUAUAGAGUUUAAUAAAUUAAUAUUUAAAAAUAUUAGGAUUUAUUAGUUUAAUUGUUAAAUUUAUUUUAUUGGGGUGAUAGAAAAAUUUAUUUAACUUUUUUUAUAUAAAAACAUUAAUUUAUGGUUUAUUGAUCCAAUUUUUAUUGAUUAUAAGAAAAAUUACCUUAGGGAUAACAGCGUUAUUUUUCUUUAAAGUUCAAAUUAAAAGAAAAUUUUGCGACCU
RNAcentral lists this ribosomal RNA (403 nucleotides) under Euaesthetus ruficapillus. RNAcentral describes it as "partial 16S ribosomal RNA". The record is from RNAcentral. Lineage: Eukaryota; Metazoa; Arthropoda; Insecta; Coleoptera; Staphylinidae.